GACGAACGCUGGCGGCGUGCCUAACACAUGCAAGUCGAACGGAGAAUUAGCAAUAAUUCUUAGUGGCGAACGGGUGAGUAACGCGUAGACAACCUACCCUUUAGAUGGGGACAACACCGCGAAAGUGGUGCUAAUACCGAAUAUUGUUUGAGAAGAGCAUGCUUUUCAAACUAAAGAUGGCCUCUAUUUAUAAGCUAUCGCGAAAGAAUGGGGCUGCGUCUGAUUAGCUAGUUGGUGAGAUAAAAGCUCACCAAGGCAACGAUCAGUAGCAGGUCUGAGAGGAUGAACGGCCACACUGGGACUGAGACACGGCCCAGACUCCUACGGGAGGCAGCAGUGGGGAAUCUUCCGCAAUGGACGAAAGUCUGACGGAGCAACGCCGCGUGAGUGAUGAAGGUUUUCGGAUCGUAAAACUCUGUUGUUAAGGACGAAUGUAUAGAUUGUGAAUAAUGGUUUAUAAUGACGGUACUUAACGAGGAAGCCACGGCUAACUACGUGCCAGCAGCCGCAGUAA
This 514-nucleotide ribosomal RNA is filed under the name uncultured bacterium. Its description in RNAcentral is "partial 16S ribosomal RNA". It matches the Rfam family "Bacterial small subunit ribosomal RNA", at positions 28 to 523 of the family's 1533-position model. The record is from RNAcentral.